AGCAGCAGCCAUAUCACUCUGCAACUCACAACUGGCAACCCACUGAAGCUAAGCAGGUGUGAGCCUGGUCAGUACCUGAAUGAGAGACCUCCUGGGAAAAACUAAGGUUGCUGCUGGAA
Ribosomal RNA from Lepisosteus oculatus (spotted gar), 119 nucleotides. The record is from Ensembl. Lineage: Eukaryota; Metazoa; Chordata; Actinopteri; Semionotiformes; Lepisosteidae.